AACGAACGCUGGCGGCGCGUCUUAAGCAUGCAAGUCGAAUGGCAAGAUUGGUGCUUGCACCGAUCCUAGAAUGGCAGACUGGUGAGUAACACGUGGGUGACAUACCCUUUGGAUGGGGACAGCUACUAGAAAUAGUAGGUAAUACCGAAUAAGCUUAUAUCAGUUAGAGAGGUAUAAGGAAAGGUGCUACGGCACCGCCAAAGGAAUGGCUCGCGGCCCAUUAGCUAGUUGGUAAGGUAACGGCCUACCAAGGCAAUGAUGGGUAUCCGGCCUAAGAGGGUAAACGGACACAUUGGGACUGAGAUACGGCCCAG
This 314-nucleotide ribosomal RNA is filed under the name uncultured bacterium. RNAcentral describes it as "bacterial SSU rRNA". It matches the Rfam family "Bacterial small subunit ribosomal RNA", at positions 29 to 334 of the family's 1533-position model. The record is from RNAcentral.